Molecule: long non-coding RNA, 255 nt
Organism: Etheostoma spectabile (orangethroat darter)
Lineage: Eukaryota; Metazoa; Chordata; Actinopteri; Perciformes; Percidae
Exons: 3
Source: RefSeq, a predicted model, not a curated record
UGUGCAAACCAUAGGUUGUAAAAAUUAUGGACACGUCAUCAGUGACAUCACCCACUGGUUUGUAGAUUACCAUUUUGAAGGCAGCUGUUUGCAUUUUGCUCGUUUCCAUCUUGGUAUUUUGGAGCCAGAAGUGAUUACAUUUGGACCAAAGGACCGAGCUGGGGAGGAUGACACGGCUAAGCCAGGGUCGCGUAUGGUUACAAUGGCGCUGCGCUAAGCUAAACGCUAAAGAGGGAAAGUCCCCAAUCUUCAACC